UAGGGAAUCUUCGUCAAUGGACGAAAGUCUGACCGAGCAACGCCGCGUGAGUGAAGAAGGUUUUCGGAUCGUAAAACUCUGUUGUUAGAGAAGAACAAGGACGUUAGUAACUGAACGUCCCCUGACGGUAUCUAACCAGAAAGCCACGGCUAACUACGUGCCAGCAGCCGCGGUAAUACGUAGGAGGCAAGCGUUGUCCGGAUUUAUUGGGCGUAAAGCGAGCGCAGGCGGUUUCUUAAGUCUGAUGUGAAAGCCCCCGGCUCAACCGGGGAGGGUCAUUGGAAACUGGGAGACUUGAGUGCAGAAGAGGAGAGUGGAAUUCCAUGUGUAGCGGUGAAAUGCGUAGAUAUAUGGAGGAACACCAGUGGCGAAGGCGGCUCUCUGGUCUGUAACUGACGCUGAGGCUCGAAAGCGUGGGGAGCAAACAGG
Molecule: ribosomal RNA, 429 nt
Filed under: Gemmatimonadota bacterium
Lineage: Bacteria; Pseudomonadati; Gemmatimonadota
Description: Gemmatimonadetes bacterium partial 16S ribosomal RNA
Rfam family: Bacterial small subunit ribosomal RNA
Source: RNAcentral